CUGUUCCUAACCUUCCAGCCCAUGCCAGGCACAUGUAUAGAGCGACCGUGACUACAGAGGAUGCUGUCAUGGCUGUCUCUGUAAUGGAGUGCUCCAUGCAGGGCGGUGCUCUUCUGGGAAAUGUAAAUGCAUUACUCACCUCAUUCCCUGCUGACCCUGAUAAGGAGUAUCAAACUUAGUGUCAGAUACUGCUGGAAGGACUGAACCUGCCAUUGCUCCUUCAGAAGGAGAUGGACAGGCUGACCAGGCUAAAGAGCAACACCUCAGAGGACUCCCCAACAACUGAUGACCAGCAUCAACUCAGAGACGCCAACUCCAUCCACAGAACACACCACCAUGAA
This is a long non-coding RNA of Larimichthys crocea (large yellow croaker), 341 nucleotides long. RefSeq lists it as uncharacterized. The record is from RefSeq and is a predicted model, not a curated record. The transcript has 3 exons. Lineage: Eukaryota; Metazoa; Chordata; Actinopteri; Sciaenidae.